GCCUGGGUGGCUCAGUCGGUUAAGCGUCUGACUUCGGCUCAGGUCAUGAGCUCACGGUUCGUGGGUUCAAGCCCCGCGUCGGGCU
RNAcentral lists this transfer RNA (85 nucleotides) under Felis catus (domestic cat). It matches the Rfam family "tRNA". Rfam says of the family: Transfer RNA (tRNA) molecules are approximately 80 nucleotides in length. Their secondary structure includes four short double-helical elements and three loops (D, anti-codon, and T loops). RNAcentral also lists the same sequence under 1 other name. Lineage: Eukaryota; Metazoa; Chordata; Mammalia; Carnivora; Felidae. The record is from Rfam by way of RNAcentral.